GUUUUAAUAGUUUAAACAAAACAUUGGUCUUGUAAACCAAAAUUGAAUUUUAAAAUUUUUUAAAACU
Molecule: transfer RNA, 67 nt
Filed under: Cryptolithodes sitchensis
Lineage: Eukaryota; Metazoa; Arthropoda; Malacostraca; Decapoda; Lithodidae
Description: tRNA-Thr
Rfam family: tRNA
About the family: Transfer RNA (tRNA) molecules are approximately 80 nucleotides in length.
Source: RNAcentral